Molecule: ribosomal RNA, 400 nt
Filed under: uncultured bacterium
Lineage: Bacteria
Description: bacterial SSU rRNA
Rfam family: Bacterial small subunit ribosomal RNA
Source: RNAcentral
AAUUUUGCGCAAUGGGCGAAAGCCUGACGCAGCAACGCCGCGUGUGUGACGAAGCCCUUCGGGGUGUAAAACACUGUCAGUAGGGACGAAAUUUGACGGUACCUACAGAGGAAGCACCGGCUAACUCCGUGCCAGCAGCCGCGGUAAUACGGAGGGUGCAAGCGUUGUCCGGAAUCAUUGGGCGUAAAGAGUUCGUAGGCGGCAUGUCAAGUCUGGUGUUAAAUCCUGAGGCUCAACCUCAGAGCGGCACUGGAUACUGGCAAGCUUGAAUGCGGUAGAGGUAAAGGGAAUUCCUGGUGUAGCGGUGAAAUGCGUAGAUAUCAGGAAGAACACCGGUGGCGUAAGCGCUUUACUGGGCCGUUAUUGACGCUGAGGAACGAAAGCCGGGGGAGCAAAUGGG